This 497-nucleotide small RNA is filed under the name Pongo abelii (Sumatran orangutan). RNAcentral's name for it is "processed transcript". The record is from RNAcentral. Lineage: Eukaryota; Metazoa; Chordata; Mammalia; Primates; Hominidae.
ACCGGAAGGAGCCACGGCUGCUGCGGGAAGUGGCCGGUUCAGGAGGCGGACACCCCGAGGGCAGCGCUGCGGGGCCGUUUCCCGGCCCUCCUGACGCGACACUGCCCCUCUCCGAGGGCUGAGAAGGAAAAGAGGAGCUUGCGGAGGUGUUACCUCAUUUUGAAAGUCUUGGGAAACAGGAAAAAAUUCCUAACAAAAUGUCAGCUUUUCGAAAUCAUUGUCCACAUUUGGAUUCAGUUGGUGAAAUAACCAAAGAAGAUUUGAUACAAAAAUCUCAUGGUACUUGUCAGGAUUGUAAAGUCCGAGGACCAAAUCUUUGGGCAUGCUUGGAGAUGUUCAUAUGUUGGCUGUGGUGAAUCACAAGUAGAUCACAGCACCAUACAUUCUCAGGAGACAAAGCAUUAUCUAACUGUGAACCUUACCACUCUUCGAGUAUGGUGUUAUGCUUGCAGCAAAGAAGUAUUUUUGGAUAGGAAAUUAGGAACUCAGCCUUCAUU